Molecule: ribosomal RNA, 250 nt
Filed under: uncultured bacterium
Lineage: Bacteria
Description: partial 16S ribosomal RNA
Rfam family: Bacterial small subunit ribosomal RNA
Source: RNAcentral
UACAGAGGUCCCGAGCGUUGUUCGGAUUCACUGGGCGUAAAGGGUGCGCAGGUGGCUUGACAAGUUUGAUGUGAAAUCUCCGGGCUCAACCCGGAAAAUGCAUUGAAUACUGUUGAGCUUGAGGUUUGGAGGGGGGACUGGAAUUCUCGGUGUAGCAGUGAAAUGCGUAGAUAUCGAGAGGAACACCAGUGGCGAAGGCGAGUCCCUGGACAACACCUGACACUGAGGCACGAAAGCCGGGGGAGCAAAC